Molecule: ribosomal RNA, 747 nt
Filed under: uncultured bacterium
Lineage: Bacteria
Description: bacterial SSU rRNA
Rfam family: Bacterial small subunit ribosomal RNA
Source: RNAcentral
AAUUCGAUUAGUUUGAUCAUGGCUCAGGACGAACGCUGGCGGCGCGCUUAACACAUGCAAGUCGAGCGAGAACCAGGGCUUCGGCCCUGGGGACAGCGGCGAACGGGUGAGUAACACGUGGGUAAUCUGCCCUUGACAUCGGGAUAGCCCGGGGAAACCCGGAUUAAUACCGAAUAGCCUCCGGAGCCCUCGGGCGCCGGAGAAAAGGUAGCUUCGGCCUCUGGUCAAGGAUGAGCCCGCGGCGGAUUAGCUUGUUGGCGGGGUAAUGGCCCACCAAGGCGACGAUCCGUAGCUGGUCUGAGAGGACGAUCAGCCACACUGGGACUGAGACACGGCCCAGACUCCUACGGGAGGCAGCAGUGGGGAAUCUUGCGCAAAUGCGGGAAACCGUGACGCAGCGACGCCGCGUGGGGGAAGAAGGCCUUCGGGUUGUAAACCUCUUUCAGGAGGGACGAAGCUACUCGGGUUAAUAGCCCAGAGGGUGACGGUACCUUCAGAGGAAGCCCCGGCUAACUACGUGCCAGCAGCCGCGGUAAUACGUAGGGGGCUAGCGUUGUCCGGAUUUAUUGGGCGUAAAGAGCGUGUAGGCGGCCAGAUAGGUCUGCUGUGAAAACUUGAGGCUCAACCUCAAGCUGUCGGCGGAAACCAUUCGGCUAGAGUCCGGAAGAGGAGAGUGGAAUUCCUGGUGUAGCGGUGAAAUGCGCAGAUAUCAGGAAGAACACCUAUGGCGAAGGCAGCUCCCUGGGA